This 1504-nucleotide long non-coding RNA is filed under the name Macaca fascicularis (crab-eating macaque). RNAcentral describes it as "lncRNA (ENSMFAG00000061685.1)". Lineage: Eukaryota; Metazoa; Chordata; Mammalia; Primates; Cercopithecidae. The record is from RNAcentral.
AUUGACCAAGUGAGACAGGGCAACAGUCUUCCCUGGGAGUAAAGAGACGAGCAGUUUCUGUUGACAUAUAUUUUAGGCCUGGCCUCCAAAAAAAAAUUUACCCAAAGCAGUGGUGUGUUGGUGUCCAGGGCUACCGAGCCUAAUCUUUGGCUGCCUCUGUGUUAUUUUAAGUUGUAAUUUUCCGUGUCAUCUAAAUUUGUAAUAAUUCUUUAGUAUGAUAGUGUUUCAGUGAACAAACAUUCUGCUUGCUGCAUUUCUUCUGAGUGAGUAAUUCCCUGACAACUACCAGAUCUUGGCAGAAGCAAAGUUGGUCAUAAGUUAUACUCCACUCUCAGUGUUGGUGAAACGUAUGAUGCGUAACACAGUGUUUUUGAAUUCAGUGCUGAUUUUCCUAAAGGACAUUUGGGAGGAAAAAAGAAAAGGAAAGGGAAUACCCAAAUUCAGGAAUAGAACAUAUAUAUUAUUAUAAGACUUAAAAAAUACAUGAACACUAAUCAUGAACUCAUUUCUUCUUAGUAAAAGACCUUAUGCUCUUUUUCCCAUUUCUCUGUGUGGCUUGAUUAUGGUGAAAGUGGCUGUGUGAGUUUCCAUUAUUGAAGGAGUUAAGGUCUGUGGAAUCAAAGUGUGAGACAACAUGCAGGGACCAGGUUGGUUUCCAUUUAACAGCCAACCUAAUGUAACUGAAAGGAUUGAGAGGUUUGUCUUUUUUGGAAAAUGUUAAGGUUCUUCCAAGUAACCAGCAAUGUGACUUUACCACACUGUUCAUUAACAGGGGUUUGGAUGAUGACCACCAUGUCUGCUGCUGGCUGAGUCCAAAACUGCGGUCACUCUCUCCAGCAAGCUCAGGGAGGGUUACGUCAUCUUCACUCAGCCAGCCCAACGCUUUUUCCAUCUGCUAAAAUGUAGAACAUGGUUGCUGAUUCUACCCUUUCUACAGAGAGAGAGGGAACAUGGAUGAGUUGCUGCUUUUAAAGAUUGUAUGUUAAUUGCUGUUUUAAAAAUCUGCUAAGCCAAGCACACUUAGUGUAAUCAGUCACCAUGGAGUUUUUUAAUAGGACAGCUUCUGCUCUUACAGAGCAGAGCUUUUAUGCCAGUGGGUUAGAAGCAUAACAUGUUUCUAUAUUGAAAUGAUUCUCCAACAAGGACUUCUUUUCAUCAGGGGUGACCUAAAAGGUAUUACUUGAAAUACAGUUACAUCAUGUUCUUAACUGGGUUUAGUAGUAGGAUAAUUACAGGGUUGUAUCCACCUCAAAUGGGAAGAACUGAUAAGUUUUGCACAAUUAUUUAACUCCUCUGUUAGGCCUUCCUUAUUUCCUGUUCUCUUUUUAAAAUUUGACUAAGAUACUCCUAAUGGGCUUGGGAGCCUAUAAAAUGAUCAGGAUUGUUGCCUUAUGUUUUGCAUGGUUGGGGUAACAGUGGAGCCAGAUGUACCCUUAAAUAAAAGGUAGGCCUACAAAACCAGUUUCUCAUUGCAUUCAAAAUGUGAUUUAAAAAAAAAAAAAAA